RNAcentral lists this ribosomal RNA (460 nucleotides) under uncultured bacterium. Its description in RNAcentral is "partial 16S ribosomal RNA". It matches the Rfam family "Bacterial small subunit ribosomal RNA", at positions 338 to 795 of the family's 1533-position model. The record is from RNAcentral.
CCUACGGGAGGCAGCAGUGAGGAAUAUUGGUCAAUGCGCGCGAGCCUGAACCAGCCACGUCGCGUGAAGGAUGACUGCCCUACGGGUUGUAAACUUCUUUUAUAAAGGAAUAAAGUGAGGCACGUAUGCCUUUUUGUAUUUACUUUAUGAAUAAGGAUCGGCUAACUCCGUGCCAGCAGCCGCGGUAAUACGGAGGAUGCGAGCGUUAUCCGGAUUGAUUGGGGUUAAAGGGAGCGUAGAUGGGUUGUUAAGUCAGUUGUCAAAGUUUGCGGCUCAACCGUAAAAUUGCAAUUGAUACUGGAAGUCUUGAGUACAGGUGAGGAUGGCGGAAUUCGUGGUGUAGCGGUGAAAUGCUUAGAUAUCACGAAGAACUCCGAUUGCGAAGGCAGCUUACUAAACUGCCACUGACAUUGAUGCGCGAAAGUGUGGGUAGCAAACAGGAUUAGAUACCCUUGUAGUC